This 78-nucleotide transfer RNA is filed under the name Caldicellulosiruptor naganoensis. Its description in RNAcentral is "tRNA-Pro". It matches the Rfam family "tRNA". Rfam says of the family: Transfer RNA (tRNA) molecules are approximately 80 nucleotides in length. Their secondary structure includes four short double-helical elements and three loops (D, anti-codon, and T loops). Further hydrogen bonds mediate the characteristic L-shaped molecular structure. tRNAs have two regions of fundamental functional importance: the anti-codon, which is responsible for specific mRNA codon recognition, and the 3' end, to which the tRNAs corresponding amino acid is attached (by aminoacyl-tRNA synthetases). tRNAs cope with the degeneracy of the genetic code in two manners: having more than one tRNA (with a specific anti-codon) for a particular amino acid; and 'wobble' base-pairing, i.e. permitting non-standard base-pairing at the 3rd anti-codon position. Lineage: Bacteria; Bacillati; Bacillota; Caldicellulosiruptorales; Caldicellulosiruptoraceae. The record is from RNAcentral.
CGGGAUGUAGCUCAGUUUGGCUAGAGCGCCUGGUUCGGGACCAGGAGGUCGCAGGUUCAAGUCCUGUCAUCCCGACCA